AAAAACUUGUGACCCAACCAACUCCUGGGGAUUAUGUAAUGCUUGCUUAUCACCAUUGAUGUGGGGAUUAACAACCAAAAACUAUUGCUUGAUGAGUUUUAUAUUGGUCUCAAACACAAGAAUGCCACUCGAAAGGAAUAUUAUGACUUACUUGAAGAGUUAUGUCUGCAGUCAAGCAAAGCUAUGGUCAAAAAGUGUUUGUGCAGUGUCUCUUAAAACUUAGAUUUACCCAAUAGCUCAUAAAUGUACCUAUCAGCCAAAUAUAAAACCACUCAGUUGGCGUUCAGUGA
This is a long non-coding RNA of Helianthus annuus (common sunflower), 290 nucleotides long. RefSeq lists it as uncharacterized. The record is from RefSeq and is a predicted model, not a curated record. The transcript has 2 exons. Lineage: Eukaryota; Viridiplantae; Streptophyta; Magnoliopsida; Asterales; Asteraceae.